UCCUAAGUCAGCCCAUUUAUUAACAAACAGAUUAAAGUUAUUAAAAAUGAAAUAAUCCCAGAAAAAUAAUUAAAAUGGCCUUAUUACAACCCAAAACCAAACAAUAAUAUUAAUAAGAUAAAACUUAUAAAGAAAUAAAUCAGCUGCUUAUUGCAUUUAAAAGAAACAGAAAAAGUAGUGUGGCCAUCUCCGAGUCCCUCGCAGCCCCAAACCAUCUAAGCUUAGGGAUUACCUGCACAGUUAGAAACGGGGUGAGUUUACAAAAACUUAGUGUGUAAUCCCAAUAACAAACAAACAAUGAAAACACAGUAUCAGUACAAUCUGGGCCAAAGCCCUAUUCAGUCUCGACAUAUACUGGGCCGAAGCCUUUCGUUUAACGGUUACUGGGCCGAAGCCUUUUCAUAAAUCAAAUCACUGGGCCAAAGCCUUUUCAUAAAUCAUAUCACUGGGCCGAAGCCUUUAUUAUAAACGGUAUGGCCUAUAGGCCCAUUUCAAUAACACAUGAAAUAUCAAUGAAUGUAUGCAAGCCCAUUUCAAUAUCACAUGAAAUACCAAUGAAUGUAUGCAGGCCCAUUUGGGGAGACUACUCAACCCACCAUCCGCUACUCUCCACCCGUACCAACCAACACACCAUGUGGGGAAUAACUCAACCCACCCAACCAACACACCACUGGCAGCAUAGCUGCUUUAUCGUAUAUCUGGAGGCAUAGCCUCUUUAAUAACUGGGGCAAAGCCCUUCUCGGUAAACUAGGGCAAAGCCCUUUUCAAUAAACUGGGGCAUAAGCCCUUUUCGGUAAACUGGGGCAUAAGUCCUUUUCAAUAAACUGGGGCAUAAACCCUUUUCGGUAAACUGGGACAUAAGCCCUUUUCAAUAAACUGGGGCAUAAGCCCUUUUGCACUUCCUCCAUCCAUAUAAAAACCCAACCCAAUGCAUUUAUGAAUUCAUCAUGUGCAUCUCAUACAUAUCAUGUGCAUAUCAUACAUAUCAUGUGCAUAUCAUAUCAAUCAUGUAUAUCAUAUCCCACGUAUCAAAUUUAUAAUUAAACCCUAGGGGUAUAAUGGUCAUUUUUACCUAGAGGCAAAACAAUCAUUUUCACAUUAUAAUGGUAAUUUCGUAAUUUUACCAAAUAUCAGGGUUUUCCAUGUUCAUCAACAAUUAUCAAUAUUUCCGAGUGUUUAAACAAUGAUCUUUAACCCACUUUAUCAAACUCGGGCUUUUGGGCCCAAAACCUCUAAUGGGCCCUACGAAUGCCGAUUUAGCCCAUUAAGCCCACAUAAUCCAAAUUUUACAAUAGUACUAACCGUGUUAACAUGCAAGUUCUCCAGAUUCCAUUUUCUAUCAGUUUUACCCAAAUGGGCCCAAAGCCCAUUGGGCCCGAUUCCAGCCCAUUGCAGCCCAACUUACCAUCGUGCACAAAAUUGAGUUCUUACCUGUUCCAUCGAUCCAAACACUGAUCAUAUCAUAUUUAUCACAUCUACACCCAAACGCAACGUUACAAGUUCCCAAAAUAUUGGUAUUUUAGCAUUUCGGCUUCUCAGCAAAUAUUAAUCUAAGCUAUUACGAGGGUUAGUACACACCUGUUACGGGUUGAAGUUGAAAUGUUUCCAAAAUCAACCACCUACAAUAACCACCACCUAUCACUCAAACUUAACUAAUCCAAUAUCAAUAUAUGUAAAUCCUAAGCACAUCAGUCAUACGGAACAUAACGGCAUAUUCGUCAUUUUACCGUACAAGGGUAUUACGGUCACUUUACCCUACAGGGGCUUUACGGUCUUUUUACCUAAUAGGGGUAUUUUAGUCAUUUCAUCCUACAAGGGUGUUUUGGUAAAUCUACAAACCAAAGGUAUUUUAGUAAUUUUGUAAACCAAUGGUAUUUCUAUAAUUUUUAUAAAGUCAAGGGUAUUUCUGUAACUUUGUAAAUUAGGGGUAUUUUGGUAAUUUUACAAAUUAAGGGUAUUUCGGUAAUUUCAUAAACCAAGGGUAUUUUGGUAAUUUUACAAACUAGGGGUAUUUUAGUAAUUUUACAAACCAAGGGUAUUUUAGUAAUUUUGUAAAUCGAGGGUAAAACAGUAAUUCUAUAAAUCAAGGGUAAAAUAAUAAUUCUAUAAAUCGAGGGUAAAAUAGUAAUUCUGUAAAUCGAGGGUAAAACGAUAAUUCUGUAAGUCGAGGGUAAAACGAUAAUUAUGUAAAUCGGGGGUAAAACGGUAAUUAUGUAAAUUGGGGGUAAAACAGUAAUUCUGUAAAUCGGGGGUACUUUGGUAAUUUUACAAGUCGAAGGUAUUUCAGUAAUUUUACAAAUCGAGGGUAUUUCAGUAUUUUUACAAACUAAGGGUAUUUCGGUAAUUUUAGUAAACUAAAGUAUUCUAAACAGUGAUAACAAUACGAAUGGGCCUAAAGUCUAUUCUCGACCCAAAUGGGCCCACAUGCUCGUGUGGCCCUUUUAGCCCAAACUAGCCACAAAUAUGAGAUUCACCUAGCCUAGUCCAAUAUUUGCUACACAAUCAAACAAACUUGUCCAAUUGGGCCUGUAGGCCCAUUGGGCCCACAUGGCCCUUUUCGGCCCAUCACGGCCCGAAGUAGCCAUCCUACAGCUAGAGUAGUGAGAAAUACACACCUGAUUGGCGACUGGAGUUAAUCCACGCUCCGAGCACUCUUAGCCGACGCCCAACCCAAACGAGCACGCAUACAACGAAAGGGAU
Molecule: long non-coding RNA, 2700 nt
Filed under: Gossypium barbadense (sea-island cotton)
Lineage: Eukaryota; Viridiplantae; Streptophyta; Magnoliopsida; Malvales; Malvaceae
Description: long non-coding RNA (GBAR_LNC012370)
Source: RNAcentral